GGCGAACGGGUGCGUAACGCGUAUGCAACCUACCUUCAUCAGGGGGAUAGCCCGGAGAAAUCCGGAUUAAGACCGCAUGAAACCACAGUGCAGCAUUGCACAAUGGUCAAAUAUUCAUAGGAUGGAGAUGGGCAUGCGUGUCAUUAGCUAGUUGGCGGGGUAACGGCCCACCAAGGCGACGAUGACUAGGGGAUCUGAGAGGAUGGCCCCCCACACUGGUACUGAGACACGGACCAGACUCCUACGGGAGGCAGCAGUAAGGAAUAUUGGUCAAUGGGCGGAAGCCUGAACCAGCCAUGCCGCGUGCAGGAAGACAGCCCUUGGGUCGUAAACUGCUUUUGUACCGGAAUAAACCCGCCCUCGUGAGGGUGGCUGAAUGUACGGUAAGAAUAAGGAUCGGCUAACUCCGUGCCAGCAGCCGCGGUAAUACGGAGGAUCCAAGCGUUAUCCGGAUUUAUUGGGUUUAAAGGGAGCGUAGGCGGCCCGUUAAGUCAGAGGUGAAAGACGGUAGCUCAACUAUCGCAGUGCCUUUGAUACUGACGGGCUUGAAUACAGAUGAGGUGGGCGGAAUGUGACAAGUAGCGGUGAAAUGCAUAGAUAUGUCACAGAACACCGAUUGCGAAGGCAGCUCACUAAGCUGUUAUUGACGCUGAGGCUCGAAAGCGUGGGGAUCAAACAGGAUUAGAUACCCUGGUAGUCCACGCCCUAAACGAUGAUAACUCGAUGUUGGCGAUAUACAGUCAGCGUCCAAGCGAAAGCGUUAAGUUAUCCACCUGGGGAGUACGCCCGCAAGGGUGAAACUCAAAGGAAUUGACGGGGGCCCGCACAAG
This 830-nucleotide ribosomal RNA is filed under the name uncultured bacterium. RNAcentral's name for it is "bacterial SSU rRNA". It matches the Rfam family "Bacterial small subunit ribosomal RNA", at positions 97 to 929 of the family's 1533-position model. The record is from RNAcentral.